RNA transcript from Bombus pyrosoma, 1348 nucleotides. It is a transcript of the gene named elongation of very long chain fatty acids protein 6-like, with no coding region annotated. The record is from RefSeq and is a predicted model, not a curated record. The transcript is spliced from 4 exons. Lineage: Eukaryota; Metazoa; Arthropoda; Insecta; Hymenoptera; Apidae.
AUUUACACAAUCAGUUCUCCGUUCGUCGCAUUAGUAACAACUACACAAGUAACAAUUGAGGACAUUCCUGUUAGCUAUCUGAUUAACCGCGAGAUAUUCUAUUUAUCGAAAACCUAUACAUAAAUUUAUAAAACUGUUACAUCGGUUAGUACCUGGUCCGUGAGUUGUUUGAAAGUGGGUGGUUACAUUUUUUUGAACCAAAGCAGAUUGGUGACAUAGGCAAAGGCUGUGGCUUUUUUUACAAUUUUUGACGACCAGCGGAAAAAAGAUGGACAAAUUGGAUUAUAUGCCGAUCACCAUACCUAAUUAUUCAUACACCUUUAACUUCGAAAAAAGCUUCACUUAUUCGGAUACUGUUAUACGAAUUACGAACCACUAUCCGUAUUGUUUCUGCUACUGUCUCUUUUACGUUAUCCUAAUUUUUACCGGAAAAUAUUUCAUGUCCAGUAGAUCAAAGUUCGAGCUGAGAGGAAUGCUCGCUUUGUGGAAUGCAUCGCUUGCAGUGUUCUCCAUUUUUGGAUUCCACCGGAUGGGAUCAGAAUUAUAUCACGUAUUACGUAAUUAUGGAUUUCAACAUAGUAUCUGUAUCAGUUAUAUAGCACAUGAUCCCGUGAUGAAUUUUUGGUCCUUAUUGUUCAUUCUAUCAAAGAUCGUGGAGCUUGGUGACACAGCCUUCAUUGUGCUACGGAAGCAGUCAUUGAAAUGUUUACAUUGGUACCAUCAUAUAACAGUUCUUCUUUAUGCAUGGUUGUGUUUUAUAGAGAAUGCACCAUACUCCAGAUGGAAUAGCGUAAUAAAUUACUUUGUUCAUUCCUGGAUGUAUUUCUAUUAUGCUCUGAAAGCAAUGCAAUUCAUUCUACCAAGAUGGUUUGCCAUGUUGAUCACUACGCUACAGAUACUACAGAUGGUGUGGGGUUGUUUUAUAACUAUUACGACUUACAACUAUAUAAAAAACGAUCAAAUUGACUGUCACAUUGAAUCCUACAACGUCAAAAUUGGUCUGCUUAUAUACUUCAGCUAUUUCAUUCUCUUUAGCAGAUUCUUCAAACAGGCUUAUCUAUCCAAUAAUUGCAGAAAGAUAAAAGAAUGCUCAAAGCAUGCUCAAGACUAAUUAAACACACAUUUUCUAAGGAUGCCCUGCAAUGGCAUUCCUUGAAAGCAUGUUGUUGGAAUCUGUUAAAGCUUCUAUGCAAUUCAUGAAACUGGGAAAUUCCGCUUUUAGAAGGAAGCAAUAGGGAUACGAAAGACUUAACAAGAUUCCAUAAAGUUCUUAGAUAUAAGGUAUUCAAGAUUCUACUAUACGAAAUUCCCUCUGGACAAUGCAAGCACGAAUGAUCACGUAUUCGUA